CAAUGCAAGUCGAACGGGAUCCAGGCAGCUUGCUGUCUGGUGAGAGUGGCGAACGGGUGAGUAAUGCGUGACCAACCUGCCCCAUACUCCGGAAUAGCUCCUGGAAACGGGUGGUAAUGCCGGGUGUUCCGCAUCAUCGCAUGAUGGUGUGGGAAAGGGUUUACCGGUAUGGGAUGGGGUCGCGUCCUAUCAGCUUGUUGGUGGGGUGAUGGCCUACCAAGGCUUCGACGGGUAGCCGGCCUGAGAGGGCGACCGGCCACAUUGGGACUGAGAUACGGCCCAGACUCCUACGGGAGGCAGCAGUGGGGAAUAUUGCACAAUGGGCGAAAGCCUGAUGCAGCGACGCCGCGUGCGGGAUGACGGCCUUCGGGUUGUAAACCGCUUUUGAUUGGGAGCAAGCGAGAGUGAGUGUACCUUUCGAAUAAGCACCGGCUAACUACGUGCCAGCAGCCGCGGUAAUACGUAGGGUGCAAGCGUUAUCCGGAAUUAUUGGGCGUAAAGAGCUCGUAGGCGGUUCGUCGCGUCUGGUGUGAAAGUCCAUCGCUUAACGGUGGAUCUGCGCCGGGUACGGGCGGACUGGAGUGCGGUAGGGGAGACUGGAAUUCCCGGUGUAACGGUGGAAUGUGUAGAUAUCGGGAAGAACACCAAUGGCGAAGGCAGGUCUCUGGGCCGUUACUGACGCUGAGGAGCGAAAGCGUGGGGGAGCGAACAGGAU
Molecule: ribosomal RNA, 715 nt
Filed under: Bifidobacterium coryneforme
Lineage: Bacteria; Bacillati; Actinomycetota; Actinomycetes; Bifidobacteriales; Bifidobacteriaceae
Description: bacterial SSU rRNA
Rfam family: Bacterial small subunit ribosomal RNA
Source: RNAcentral